CACGUAGGCGGACUCUUAAGUCGGUGGUGAAAUCCUGGAGCUCAACUCCAGAACUGCCUUCGAUACUGGGAGUCUCGAGUUCGGGAGAGGUGAGUGGAACUGCGAGUGUAGAGGUGAAAUUCGUAGAUAUUCGCAAGAACACCAGUGGCGAAGGCGGCUCACUGGCCCGAUACUGACGCUGAGGUGCGAAAGCGUGGGGAGACAAACGA
RNAcentral lists this ribosomal RNA (209 nucleotides) under uncultured bacterium. RNAcentral describes it as "partial 16S ribosomal RNA". It matches the Rfam family "Bacterial small subunit ribosomal RNA", at positions 568 to 776 of the family's 1533-position model. The record is from RNAcentral.